GGCUUCGUGGUCGAGCGGUAAGGACACUUGGCUUUCAUCGUGGAGUUCCGGGUUCGAUCCCCGGUGGAGGGGCUA
This is a non-coding RNA of Rhamnusium bicolor, 75 nucleotides long. NCBI's taxonomy places the organism in Eukaryota, Metazoa, Arthropoda, Insecta, Coleoptera, Cerambycidae. The record is from the annotation of a GenBank genome assembly.